CCCGCCUCGAAGCGCUAAUCGCGUGUGCUUUCAUCCCAAGAAGCACGAACGACGAGUGCGUAUUUUUGGACGUUGAGUAUUCCCAGGUGAUGUUUGCAGCCUCACUGUGCUACCAUUAAGAAAAAGAAAAGGCUUCCUUUAUUUCAAGAGAAGCGUCAGCAUAAUGAAGGACAUCGCAGCACUCAUCUUAUUUACGUUAAUUCACAUGGUAGCGGCAAAGUCAUUAAAAGUCAGGCCGGAGAAAG
Dermacentor albipictus is the source of this 245-nucleotide non-coding RNA. Lineage: Eukaryota; Metazoa; Arthropoda; Arachnida; Ixodida; Ixodidae. The record is from RefSeq and is a predicted model, not a curated record.